GAAAUGCGAUAAGUAAUGUGAAUUGCAGAAUUCAGUGUAUCAUCGAAUCUUUGAACGCACAUUGCGCCCGCCAGUAUUCUGGCGGGCAUGCCUGUUCGAGCGUCAUUUCAACCAUCAAGCCCCCGGGCUUGUGUUGGGGACCUGCGGCUGCCGCAGGCCCCGAAAACCAGUGGCGGGCUCGCUGUCACACCGGGCGUAGUAGAUUUUUCGUCUCGCCCAGGGCGUGCUGCGGGUUCCGGCCGUUAAAAAGCCUCUCUUUUAACCCAAGGUUGACCUCGGAUCAGGUAGGAAGACCCGCUGAACUUAAGC
Molecule: unclassified non-coding RNA, 309 nt
Filed under: plant metagenome
Description: partial contains 5.8S ribosomal RNA, internal transcribed spacer 2, and large subunit ribosomal RNA
Rfam family: 5.8S ribosomal RNA (bases 1-105)
Source: RNAcentral